UUGCACGCUGGCGGCAGGCCUAACCCAUGCAAGUCGCGCGGAUGAAGGGAGCUUGCUCCUGGAUUCAGCGGCGGACGGGUGAGUAAUGCCUAGGAAUCUGCCUGGUAGUGGGGGAUAACGUCCGGAAACGGGCGCUAAUACCGCAUACGUCCUGAGGGAGAAAGUGGGGGAUCUUCGGACCUCACGCUAUCAGAUGAGCCUAGGUCGGAUUAGCUAGUUGGUGGGGUAAAGGCCUACCAAGGCGACGAUCCGUAACUGGUCUGAGAGGAUGAUCAGUCACACUGGAACUGAGACACGGUCCAGACUCCUACGGGAGGCAGCAGUGGGGAAUAUUGGACAAUGGGCGAAAGCCUGAUCCAGCCAUGCCGCGUGUGUGAAGAAGGUCUUCGGAUUGUAAAGCACUUUAAGUUGGGGGGAAGGGCAGUAAGUUAAUACCUUGCUGUUUUGACGUUACCAACAGAAUAAGCACCGGCUAACUUCGUG
Molecule: ribosomal RNA, 483 nt
Filed under: uncultured bacterium
Lineage: Bacteria
Description: partial 16S ribosomal RNA
Rfam family: Bacterial small subunit ribosomal RNA
Source: RNAcentral